UGGCGGACGGGUGAGUAACGCGUGGGUAACCUGCCUCAUACAGGGGGAUAACAGUUAGAAAUGACUGCUAAUACCGCAUAAGCGCACAAAACCGCAUGGUUUGGUGUGAAAAACUGAGGUGGUAUGAGAUGGACCCGCGUCUGAUUAGCUAGUUGGAGAGGUAACGGCUCACCAAGGCAACGAUCAGUAGCCGACCUGAGAGGGUGACCGGCCACAUUGGGACUGAGACACGGCCCAAACUCCUACGGGAGGCAGCAG
Molecule: ribosomal RNA, 258 nt
Filed under: uncultured bacterium
Lineage: Bacteria
Description: partial 16S ribosomal RNA
Rfam family: Bacterial small subunit ribosomal RNA
Source: RNAcentral